RNAcentral lists this ribosomal RNA (440 nucleotides) under uncultured bacterium. Its description in RNAcentral is "bacterial SSU rRNA". It matches the Rfam family "Bacterial small subunit ribosomal RNA", at positions 338 to 791 of the family's 1533-position model. The record is from RNAcentral.
CCUACGGGAGGCAGCAGUGAGGAAUCUUCCGCAAUGGGCGAAAGCCUGACGGAGCGACACCGCGUGAAGGAUGAAGCCCUUUCUGGGUGUAAACUUCUGUUCUGAGGGACGAAAUUUUUGACGGUACCUCAGGAGAAAGCACCGGCUAAUUCUGUGCCAGCAGCCGCGGUAAGACAGAAGGUGCAAGCGUUACUCGGAAUUACUGGGCGUAAAGCGUCUGCAGGUGUUCCGUUAAGUCUGGUGUAAAAGCACGGAGCUUAACUCCGUGUACGUGCCGGAAACUGGCGGGAUUGAGUCAUUGAAAGGCAUCUGGAAUGUCGUGUGUAGGGGUAAAAUCCGUAGAUCCACGAUGGAACGCCGAAAGUGAAAACAGGAUGCUAGCAAUGUACUGACACUCAGAGACGAAAGCGUGGGGAGCAAAGGGGAUUAGAUACCCCGGU